This 207-nucleotide ribosomal RNA is filed under the name uncultured bacterium. RNAcentral describes it as "partial 16S ribosomal RNA". It matches the Rfam family "Bacterial small subunit ribosomal RNA", at positions 568 to 774 of the family's 1533-position model. The record is from RNAcentral.
CGUGUAGGUGGUUCUGUAAGUAGGGCGUGAAAGCUCCCGGCUCAACUGGGAGAGGCCGUUCUAAACUACAGAACUAGAGGAUGGUAGAGGGAGGUGGAAUUCCAGGUGUAGCGGUGGAAUGCGCAGAUAUCUGGAGGAACAUCGGUGGCGAAGGCGGGUAACUGGACUGCAACUGACGCUGAGGCGCGAAAGUGUGGGGAGCAAACA